AUUACCAGUAUUUUUUAAUUAUUGCAAGAAAUUCCAUUGACUCAUUCACAAGUCAAAAAUGUGUUUUAUCUGAAAGAAACAUGCAAUAUUUACAUCUAAGAUCACAGAAAAAUAGUCAACCCAGUGCAAUGAUGUCCUCCAAGAUAAUAUUUGCCACUUUGUUUGCAGUAAACAAAGUUUGUUGUUGUUUUUCAGUUUCAGUUAUAUAUUGGGGGGCAUUUUGGGCAUUGGUGGGGGGGUGUGUCCCCCUCAAUGUAUAUGGUAACUACGGCCCUGUCAGCAUGCAUAAUAAGGCCUCAGUUGUCUGGGUGCGCAAAGGUGAAGUGGCUGGUCUUGUCAUACAAAGUUUGAUGGAGUGUCAACUGGACAAUAUGGAGAUAUUUGCAUCUUGAAAGCUGGACUACAAAUGUGGAUAGACAGGGAGAAACACACGCAAGCCUAAGACGUGCUUCCUCCAGUCAGCUGACUGAGAGCGUUCCCUUUCCUGGUUAGCCAAUCAAACGUUGCCACGACCUCCUUCAGCCAAUCACAUACUGCCACACUUUCAACCUGUUCUCCUCUCUGCUCCUGUCAGCUGGCAUUUUAGGGUGGAGUCCUCCCGCCCUCAUCCAUCCAGGUCACCUCCUACCACCUGAUCCAGUCCCUAAUAAACUGGAUAAAUAGCAAUCAGCCUGUCUGUGUGUGUGUGAUGAGCUGCAGCAGGUGUGAUUCCCCAAUCAACCACGUGACCGGGUUGCUGCUGCUCCAACAGAAAACUGGUGCUGACGUAUUGCGGUAAGCGAGUUGUGUCAUUUCCGGUGUUUCUGUGACAGCGUCUCUGUGCUGCUCUGGUGAAUUCUACGAGCCUGCUUUCUGCUUUCUUACUUCAGUUGCUUUAACAUCUACUUCAAGUCUUCAUCAUUUAAUCGCUGGCUGUCCAGGUGGUGUCCAGCAAACGAUGUGGGUUUCAUUAAUAAUUGGCAAACUUUCUGGGGAAAACCUGGUCUUAUUAGGAGAGAUGGCAUUCAUCCCACUUUGGAUGGAGCUGCUCUCAUUUCUAGAAACCUGGAAAAUUUUAUUAGUAAUUUAAAUCCCUGACAACCCAGAGUUGAGACCAGGACUCAGAGUCACAGUCCUAUACACCUCUCUGAGCUUCUAGUUCAGUUACUGAUGGACUUGGGGCUCAUCCUACUUUCCAAUGUGCUAUGUGUGAGCUCAGUCCUGCGUGUUCUUUAAUGAAGCAAUAGGAGAAGAUAUUCGGUCUCAGUUAAUGUAGUUUAUUAAGCAGUAAAGGAAUAAAAUUAGAGAGCUCUGGGUCUCAACUUCACGUCCCUGACGAACAACAAAGGUGUGUCAGUUCACGAAGUCUGACCUCCUGUCCUUUCCCUGACCCAGUAUAUUUGAGCGUA
Molecule: long non-coding RNA, 1388 nt
Organism: Epinephelus fuscoguttatus (brown-marbled grouper)
Lineage: Eukaryota; Metazoa; Chordata; Actinopteri; Perciformes; Serranidae
Exons: 3
Source: RefSeq, a predicted model, not a curated record